Molecule: non-coding RNA, 996 nt
Filed under: Trichomonas vaginalis G3
Lineage: Eukaryota; Parabasalia; Trichomonadida; Trichomonadidae
Description: Eukaryotic large subunit ribosomal RNA
Rfam family: Eukaryotic large subunit ribosomal RNA
Source: Rfam by way of RNAcentral
GCUGGGGUAACUUAUGACUCUUAUCAAAAGUAGCGAAAUCCCUCGUCACUUAAUUAGUGACCUGCAUGACGGGAGCUAUGAGGUUCUCACUGUCCCAAACUGUCUCUCAGCGAACCAAACUGUAGUGGGAACGGUCACUAGAUAUCCAGCGGGGAAAGAAGACCCUGUAGAGCUUCACUUUGGUCUAGUCUUGUAUAGUUCCUGCGGGGGUGUAGACUAGGUGGGAGAGCAAUCGAUUCUGAAAAACCACUACCCUGUUUGGAAUUAUGCUUACCUAUCACAAGGAAUAGGACUAGAUAGAAAGUUUGGCUGGGGCGGCACACCUUCGAAAGAGCAGCGAAGGUGUCCUAAGUUGAGCUCAGUGAGGACAGAAAUCUCACGUUGAGGAUAAGGCCAAAAGCUCAAUUUACUGUGCCUUUUUGUACUAGGAUCAGUUACGAAAGUAAGGCCUAACGAUCCCUAAAUAGCCUCAGGUGCGUGAGGAUUGGGGUGACAGACAAGUUACCUCCGGGACAACUGGCUUGUGGCUGCUAAGAGAUCAAAUCAACGCAGCUUUUUGAUUCUUCGAUGUCGGCUCUUCCUAUCCUAGUGAUGUACAAGUUGCUAAGGGUCGGAUUGUUCACCCGUAUUAGGGAUCGUGAGCUGGGUUUAGACCGUCGUGAGCCAGGUUUGUUUUAUCCUACUGGAUAUAGCAUCAUGAUAGUAGAUUGAUUUAGUACGAGAGGAACUGUUGAUUAUGGCCUCUGGUUAGCGAUUAUCGGAAACGGUAUGUCGCGCAGCUACGCCGUCUGGGAUAAUGGCUGAAAGCCUCUUAAGCCAGAAGCCCAUCUAGAAAGUGAUGCACGUGAUGUUGGACCGAUACGAAUAAUCAUACUCAAAAGGUCCGCUUCAUAGGUAACCCAAUGUAGAAGACAUUGUGUGAACGAAGGUACUGUAAGCAGUGGAGUGGCAUUACGUCCACGACCUGUUGAGGUUCAGCUUCGCUUCUAGGUUUCC